UACGUAGGGAGCAAGCGUUGUUCGGAUUUACUGGGCGUAAAGGGCGCGUAGGCGGCGCGGUAAGUCACUUGUGAAAUCUCUGAGCUUAACUCAGAACGGCCAAGUGAUACUGCAGUGCUAGAGUGCAGAAGGGGCAAUCGGAAUUCUUGGUGUAGCGGUGAAAUGCGUAGAUAUCGGGAGGAACACCAGUGGCGAAGGCGACUACCUGGCCUGUUUCUUGACGCUGAGGCGCGAAAGCUAGGGGAGCAAACGGG
This 254-nucleotide ribosomal RNA is filed under the name uncultured bacterium. RNAcentral's name for it is "partial 16S ribosomal RNA". It matches the Rfam family "Bacterial small subunit ribosomal RNA", at positions 524 to 776 of the family's 1533-position model. The record is from RNAcentral.